GAUGAACGCUGGCGGCGUGCCUAAUACAUGCAAGUCGAGCGAACAGACGAGGAGCUUGCUCCUCUGACGUUAGCGGCGGACGGGUGAGUAACACGUGGAUAACCUACCUAUAAGACUGGGAUAACUUCGGGAAACCGGAGCUAAUACCGGAUAAUAUAUUGAACCGCAUGGUUCAAUAGUGAAAGACGGUUUUGCUGUCACUUAUAGAUGGAUCCGCGCCGCAUUAGCUAGUUGGUAAGGUAACGGCUUACCAAGGCAACGAUGCGUAGCCGACCUGAGAGGGUGAUCGGCCACACGGGAACGUGGACACGGUCAAGGCUCCUAAGGGAGGGAGCAGUAGGGAAUCUUCCGCAAUGGGCGAAAGCCUGACGGAGCAACGCCGCGUGAGUGAUGAAGGUCUUCGGAGCGUAAAACUCUGUUAUUAGGGAAGAACAAAUGUGUAAGUAACUAUGCACGUCGUGACGGUACCUAAUCAGAAAGCCACGGCUAACUACGUG
RNAcentral lists this ribosomal RNA (497 nucleotides) under uncultured bacterium. Its description in RNAcentral is "partial 16S ribosomal RNA". It matches the Rfam family "Bacterial small subunit ribosomal RNA", at positions 28 to 507 of the family's 1533-position model. The record is from RNAcentral.